Molecule: long non-coding RNA, 695 nt
Organism: Homarus americanus (American lobster)
Lineage: Eukaryota; Metazoa; Arthropoda; Malacostraca; Decapoda; Nephropidae
Exons: 3
Source: RefSeq, a predicted model, not a curated record
CGUAAACAAACAGAGCUACAACAGAAAACGGGAUACACACCCCACUGAGGAGACACGACUGGACGGACACUGGGCAGACUGAGCAUCACUCCCUGUUAAUACCACAUAAUAAUAAAAAUCUUCUUGUGAUUAAAUAUUGAUAACAAGUGUAAUGUAAACAACUGUAAUUAGUGACGUAAGCUUAUGAGCGAUAUUAGAAAUUACUGAAAGGAAGUUUGACCUAAAUUAGACAUGAUAAAUAAAAUGAAGUCAAAAACAGCACUUGAAAGUUAACAUGAAACUAAGAUAUUCUUGUGAUUGUGGGCGUGUGUGUGGUGGUGAGGGAAGUAGAAGAGAGAUUGUGAUGAGGCGUAGUGGUGUGCAGUGGGCGUGGAGGGUGAUAAAGACUGUAAUGAUGAUGAUGGUGAUAAUGGUGUUUGGCCCGUGUGUGUCAUCAGCCUUGGCCAGGAAGGAAAGUACCAGUCCACUCAAGUACCAGAUUCACAGCAAGUGUCCCAUGGCGUUUCAUGAGGUCGGUGGCAGCUGUUACUUCUACGGCUAUUUUCCUCUCAACUGGUUCCGUGCGGCUGAGUUCUGUCACUCCUUCGGCAGCGGCGUGUCCUUGGCCACCAUAGAAACGCUGCAGGAGAACUAUUUCAUCAAGAAGUGGCUGGCUGUCAAUGGUCAUCACAACACCGGCGUUUGGGUUGGAGACA